This 472-nucleotide ribosomal RNA is filed under the name uncultured bacterium. RNAcentral describes it as "bacterial SSU rRNA". It matches the Rfam family "Bacterial small subunit ribosomal RNA", at positions 328 to 793 of the family's 1533-position model. The record is from RNAcentral.
CGCUAUCACUCCUACGGGAGGCAGCAGUGGGGAAUAUUGCACAAUGGGCGCAAGCCUGAUGCAGCCAUGCCGCGUGUAUGAAGAAGGCCUUCGGGUUGUAAAGUACUUUCAGCAGUGAGGAAGGCGGAGUCGUUAAUAGCGGCCUCGUUUGACGUUAGCUGCAGAAGAAGCACCGGCUAACUCCGUGCCAGCAGCCGCGGUAAUACGGAGGGUGCGAGCGUUAAUCGGAAUUACUGGGCGUAAAGCGCAUGCAGGUGGUUUGUUAAGUCAGAUGUGAAAGCCCGGGGCUUAACCUCGGAAUUGCAUUUGAAACUGGCAGGCUAGAGUCUUGUAGAGGGGGUAGAAUUUCAGGUGUAGCGGUGAAAUGCGUAGAGAUCUGAAGGAAUACCAGUGGCGAAGGCGGCCCCCUGGACAAAGACUGACGCUCAGAUGCGAAAGCGUGGGGAGCAAACAGGAUUAGAUACCCUGGUAG